UACGUAGGGGGCAAGCGUUGUCCGGAAUCAUUGGGCGUAAAGCGCGCGUAGGCGGCCCGGUAAGUCCGCUCUGAAAGUCCAGGGCUCAACCCUGGAAAGCGGGUGGAUACUGCCGGGCUAGAAUCCGGAAGAGGCGAGUGGAAUUCCUGGUGUAGCGGUGGAAUGCGCAGAUAUCAGGAGGAACACCAAUAGCGAAGGCAGCUCGCUGGGACGGUAUUGACGCUGAGACGCGAAAGCGUGGGGAGCGAACAGG
This 253-nucleotide ribosomal RNA is filed under the name uncultured bacterium. RNAcentral's name for it is "partial 16S ribosomal RNA". It matches the Rfam family "Bacterial small subunit ribosomal RNA", at positions 524 to 776 of the family's 1533-position model. The record is from RNAcentral.